AUUGAACGCUGGCGGCAGGCCUAACACAUGCAAGUCGAGCGAGCGGCGGACGGGUGAGUAAUGUCUGGGAAACCGCCUGAUGGAGGGGGAUAACUAAUGGACACGGUAGCUUAUACCGCAUACCAUCAGAUGUGCCCAUAUGGGAUUAGCUAGUAGGUGGGGUAAUGGCUCACCUAGGCGACGAUCCCUAGCUGGUCUGAGAGGAUGAACAGCCACACUGGAACUGAGACACGGUCCAGACUCCUACGGGAGGCAGCAGUGGGGAAUAUUGCACAAUGGGCGCAAGCCUGAUGCAGCCAUGCCGCGUGUGUGAAGAAGGCCUUCGGGUUGUAAAGCACUUUCAGCGAGGAGGCGUUACUCGCAGAAGAAGCACCGGCUAACUCCGUGCCAGCAGCCGCGGGAAUUC
This 406-nucleotide ribosomal RNA is filed under the name uncultured bacterium. RNAcentral describes it as "partial 16S ribosomal RNA". It matches the Rfam family "Bacterial small subunit ribosomal RNA", at positions 30 to 526 of the family's 1533-position model. The record is from RNAcentral.